AUUGAACGCUGGCGGCAGGCUUAACACAUGCAAGUUGAGCGGGGUGAUGGUGCUUGCACUAUCACUUAGCGGCGGACGGGUGAGUGAUGCUUAGAAAUCUGCCUAUUAGUGGGGGACAACAUCUCGAAAGGGAUGCUAAUACCGCAUACGUCCUACGGGAGAAAGCAGGGGAUCACUUGUGACCUUGCGCUAAUAGAUGAGCCUAAGUCGGAUUAGCUAGUUGGUGGGGUAAAGGCCUACCAAGGCGACGAUCUAUAGCGGGUCUGAGAGGAUGAUCCGCCACACUGGGACUGAGACACGGCCCAGACUCCUACGGGAGGCAGCAGUGGGGAAUAUUGGACAAUGGGGGGAACCCUGAUCCAGCCAUGCCGCGUGUGUGAAGAAGGCCUUAUGGUUGUAAAGCACUUUAAGCGAGGAGGAGGCUCUUUUGGUUAAUACCCAAGAUGAGUGGACGUUACUCGCAGAAUAAGCACCGGCUAACUCUGUGCCAGCCGCCGCCGUAA
Molecule: ribosomal RNA, 503 nt
Filed under: uncultured bacterium
Lineage: Bacteria
Description: partial 16S ribosomal RNA
Rfam family: Bacterial small subunit ribosomal RNA
Source: RNAcentral